RNAcentral lists this long non-coding RNA (650 nucleotides) under Capsella grandiflora. RNAcentral's name for it is "long non-coding RNA (CGRA_LNC001823)". The record is from RNAcentral. Lineage: Eukaryota; Viridiplantae; Streptophyta; Magnoliopsida; Brassicales; Brassicaceae.
GCUCAGACUAUGCUGCUUACCUCCGGUGUCUCCGCCGGCCAAUUCUUGAGGAACAAGAACCCUUUGGCUCAGCCCAAAGUUCACCAACUCUUCCUCUCUGGAACCUCCCCGGUUGCUCUACCAUCGAGGAGACAAUCAUUUGUUCCUCUUGCUCUCUUCAAACCUAAAACCAAAGCUGCUCCCAAGAAGGUACUCACAAAACCCUUUACUUGUCUCACAAGGAACAUAUGUUGUGUCUUGAUGGUAAUGUUAAGGUUUUUUUUAUAUAUGUGUGUUUAGGUUGAGAAGGUGAAGCCAAAGGUUGAGGAUGGUAUCUUUGGAACUUCAGGUGGGAUUGGUUUCACUAAGGCGAAUGAGCUUUUCGUUGGUCGUGUUGCUAUGAUCGGUUUCGCAGUAAGUCUCCUUCUCAUUCACUUAGAUGUAUCAAGAAAGAAGCAUUUUGAUAUGAAUGUUGAGUUUAUAUGAAUAUAUUUAUAGGCAUCUUUGCUUGGUGAGGGUAUCACCGGGAAAGGGAUCUUAGCUCAGCUGAAUCUUGAGACAGGGAUACCGAUUUACGAAGCAGAGCCAUUGCUUCUCUUCUUUAUCUUGUUCACUUUGUUGGGAGCCAUUGGAGCUCUUGGAGACAGAGGAAAAUUCGUCGACGAUCCUCC